AGUUUCAAUCAUGAUCAGAUUGAACGCUGGCAGGCAGGCACACAUGCAUGCAAGAGCGAGCAGUAACAGGAGGUAGCUUGCUACGCGUCUGAGCGAGCGGCGGACUGAGUGAGUAAUUCAUAGGAAUCUUCCCGAUAGUGGGGGAUAACGUGAAACUACACAGAAUAAUGCCGCGUACGUCCUACGAAAGGAAGGCGUGCUUCGGCUCUCGCUAUUAGAUGAGCCUAAGUCGGAUUAGCUAGUUGGUGAGGUAAAGGCUCACCAAGGCGACGAUCCGUAGCUGGUCUGAGAGGAUGAUCAGCCACAUCGGGACUGAGACACGGCCCGAACUCCUACGGGAGGCAGCAGUGGGGAAUAUUGGACAAUGGGGGAAACCCUGAUCCAGCCAUGCCGCGUGUGUGAAGAAGGCCCUUUGGUUGUAAAGCACUUUCAGCGAGGAAGAACACCUAGUGGUUAAUACCCAUUAGGAAAGACAUCACUUGCAGAAGAAGCACCGGCUAACUCUGUGCCAGCAGCCGCGGUAAUACGGAGGGUGCAAGCGUUAAUCGGAAUUACUGGGCGUAAAGCGCGCGUAGGUGGCUUGAUAAGUCAGAUGUGAAAUCCCCGGGCUCAACCUGGGAACGGCAUCCGGAACUGUCAAGCUAGAGUACAGGAGAGGAAGGUAGAAUUCCCGGUGUAGCGGUGAAAUGCGUAGAGAUCGGGAGGAAUACCAGUGGCGAAGGCAGCUUUCUGGAAUCACACUGACACUGAGGUUCGAAAGCGUGGGUAGCAAACAGGAUUAGAUACCCUGGUAGUCCCCGCCGUAAACGAUGUCUACUAGGUCGUUGGGUGCCUUGCAGCGACUUUGUGACGCAAGUUAACGCAGAUACAGUCGACCGCCUGGGGAGUACGGCCGCAAGGUUAAAACUCAAAUGAAUUGACGGGGGCCCGCACAAGCGGUGGAGCAUGUGGUUUAAUUCGAUGCAACGCGAAGAACCUUACCUGCUCUUGACAUCCUGCGAACUUGGGAGAGAUCACUUGGUGCCUUCGGGAACGCAGAGACAGGUGCUGCAUGGCUGUCGUCAGCUCGUGUUGUGAAAUGUUGGGUUAAGUCCCGUAACGAGCGCAACCCUUGUCCUUAUUUGCCAGCGGGUUAUGGCGGGAACUCUAAGGAGACUGCCGGUGACAAACCGGAGGAAGGUGGGGACGACGUCAAGUCAUCAUGGCCCUUACGACUAGGGCUACACACGUGCUACAAUGGCCGGUACAAAGGGUUGCGAGCUCGCGAGUGUCUGCUAAUCCCGAAAAGCCUGUCUCAGUCCGGAUGGGAUUCUGCAACUCAACUCCUGGAAGUCGAAAUCGCUAGUAAUCGUGAAUCAGAAAUGUCACGGUGAAAUACGUUUCCCGGGCCUUGUACACACCGCCCCGUCACACCAUGGGAAUUGGACUGCACCCAGAAAUGGGUUGCCUUAACUCUUCGAGAAAGCAAUCACCACGUGUGUGGU
Molecule: ribosomal RNA, 1484 nt
Filed under: Halomonas sp.
Lineage: Bacteria; Pseudomonadati; Pseudomonadota; Gammaproteobacteria; Oceanospirillales; Halomonadaceae
Description: bacterial SSU rRNA
Rfam family: Bacterial small subunit ribosomal RNA
Source: RNAcentral